UACGGGAGGCAGCGGUGGGGAAUAUUGCACAAUGGGCGCAAGCCUGAUGCAGCCAUGCCGCGUGUAUGAAGAAGGCCUUCGGGUUGUAAAGUACUUUCAGUCGUGAGGAAGGUGUUAAGGUUAAUAACCUUAGCAAUUGACGUUAGCGACAGAAGAAGCACCGGCUAACUCCGUGCCAGCAGCCGCGGUAAUACGGAGGGUGCGAGCGUUAAUCGGAAUUACUGGGCGUAAAGGGCACGCAGGCGGUUAAUUAAGUUGGAUGUGAAAUCCCCGGGCUUAACCUGGGAAUGGCAUUCAAGACUGGUUAGCUAGAGUCUUGUAGAGGGGGUAGAAUUCCAUGUGUAGCGGUGAAAUGCGUAGAGAUGUGGAGGAAUACCGGUGGCGAAGGCGGCCCCUGGACAAAGACUGACGCUCAUGUGCGAAAGCUGGGGAGCAAACAGGGAUUAGAUACCCGU
RNAcentral lists this ribosomal RNA (455 nucleotides) under uncultured bacterium. RNAcentral describes it as "bacterial SSU rRNA". It matches the Rfam family "Bacterial small subunit ribosomal RNA", at positions 340 to 789 of the family's 1533-position model. The record is from RNAcentral.